RNAcentral lists this ribosomal RNA (717 nucleotides) under Arthrobacter sp. 52ND20. RNAcentral describes it as "bacterial SSU rRNA". It matches the Rfam family "Bacterial small subunit ribosomal RNA", at positions 24 to 778 of the family's 1533-position model. The record is from RNAcentral. Lineage: Bacteria; Bacillati; Actinomycetota; Actinomycetes; Micrococcales; Micrococcaceae.
UGCGGAUACAUGCAGUCCAGGCCUAACACAUGCAAGCUCCAGGCCUAACACAUGCCAAGGUCCAGGUCCUAACACAUGCAAGUCCAGGCCUAACACAUGUCAAGUCCAGAGACCUAACACAUGUCAAGGUGCCAGGCCUAAGCGACAUGCAAGUCCAUGUCCUAACACAUGCAAGUCCUGGCCUAAUACAUGCUAGUUCAGUGCCUAACUGAUGUCAAGUACGGGACUAAGGCAUGCCAGGUCCUGAGAGGGUGACUGGACACUCUGGGACUGAGACACGGCCCAGACUCCUACGGGAGGCAGCAGUGGGGAAUAUUGCACAAUGGGCGGAAGCCUGAUGCAGCGACGCCGCGUGAGGGAUGACGGCCUUCGGGUUGUAAACCUCUUUCAGUAGGGAAGAAGCGAAAGUGACGGUACCUGCAGAAGAAGCGCCGGCUAACUACGUGCCAGCAGCCGCGGUAAUACGUAGGGCGCAAGCGUUAUCCGGAAUUAUUGGGCGUAAAGAGCUCGUAGGCGGUUUGUCGCGUCUGCCGUGAAAGUCCGGGGCUCAACUCCGGAUCUGCGGUGGGUACGGGCAAACUAGAGUGAUGUAGGGGAAACUGGAAUUCCUGGUGUAGCGGUGAAAUGCGCAAUUUCAGGAGGAAACACGAUGGCAAAGGCAGGUCUCUGGGGUAUUAACUGACCCUGAAGAGCGAAAGCUUGGGGAGCGAACAGGAU